This 393-nucleotide ribosomal RNA is filed under the name uncultured bacterium. Its description in RNAcentral is "partial 16S ribosomal RNA". It matches the Rfam family "Bacterial small subunit ribosomal RNA", at positions 523 to 918 of the family's 1533-position model. The record is from RNAcentral.
AUACGGAGGACGCGAGCGUUAUCCGGAUUCAUUGGGUUUAAAGGGUGCGCAGGCGGCCGUGCAAGUCAGCGGUGAAAGCCCGGGGCUCAACCCCGGAAGUGCCGUUGAUACUGCAUGGCUGGAAUGCGGUCGAGGCGGGCGGAACGCGGCGGGGAGGGGGGAAAUGCGUAGGUAUGCCACAGAAAGCCGAUAGCGGAGGCAGCUCGCCAGGCCUGCAUGGACGCUCGGGCACGAAAGCGUGGGGAUCGAACAGGAUUAGAUACCCUGGUAGUCCACGCUGUAAACGAUGGGCGCUCGUCGUCGGCGGCAGACAGUCGGCGGCCAAGCGAAAGCGAUAAGCGCCCCACCUGGGGAGUACGGUCGCAAGGCUGAAACUCAAAUGAAUUGACGGGG